GCGAUAACUAGUGUGAAUUGCAGAAUUCCGUGAAUCAUCGAGUCUUUGAACGCACAUUGCGCCCCCUGGUAUUCCGGGGGGCAUGCCUGUCCGAGCGUCAUUGCUGCCCAUCAAGCACGGCUUGUGUGUUGGGUCGUCGUCCCCUCUCCGGGGGGGACGGGCCCCAAAGGCAGCGGCGGCACCGCGUCCGAUCCUCGAGCGUAUGGGGCUUUGUCACCCGCUCUGUAGGCCCGGCCGGCGCUUGCCGAACGCAAAUCAAUCUUUUUCCAGGUUGACCUCGGAUCAGGUAGGGAUACCCGCUGAACUUAAGC
Molecule: unclassified non-coding RNA, 311 nt
Filed under: plant metagenome
Description: partial contains 5.8S ribosomal RNA, internal transcribed spacer 2, and large subunit ribosomal RNA
Rfam family: 5.8S ribosomal RNA (bases 1-100)
Source: RNAcentral